CUUGCUCCGGCGGAUUAGUGGCGAACGGGUGAGUAACACGUGAGCAAUCUGCCCUUGACUCUGGGAUAACUGCGGGAAACUGUAGCUAAUACCGGAUACUUUCCUUGGUGGGCAUCCGCUGGGGAAGAAAGAAUUUCGGUCAAGGAUGAGCUCGCGGACUAUCAGCUAGUUGGUGGGGUAAUGGCUCACCAAGGCGACGACGGUUAACCGGUCUGAGAGGAUGAACGGUCACACUGGAACUGAGAUACGGUCCAGACUCCUACGGGAGGCAGCAGUGGGGAAUAUUGCACAAUGGGCGCAAGCCUGAUGCAGCAACGCCGCGUGAGGGAUGAAGGCCUUCGGGUUGUAAACCUCUUUUAGUAGGGAAGAAGCGAAAGUGACGGUACCUGCAGAAAAAGCACCGGCUAACUACGUGCCAGCAGCCGCGGUAAUACGUAGGGUGCAAGCGUUGUCCGGAAUUAUUGGGCGUAAAGAGCUCGUAGGCGGUUUAUUGCGUCUGCUGUGAAAUUUCGAGGCUCAACCUCGAGCUUGCAGUGGGUACGGGUAGACUAGAGUGCAGUAGGGGAGAUGGGAAUUCCUGGUGUAGCGGUGGAAUGCGCAGAUAUCAGGAGGAACACCAAUGGCGAAGGCACAUCUCUGGGCUGUUACUGACGCUGAGGAGCGAAAGUGUGGGGAGCAAACAGGAUUAGAUACCCUGGUA
This 700-nucleotide ribosomal RNA is filed under the name uncultured Actinomycetes bacterium. RNAcentral describes it as "bacterial SSU rRNA". It matches the Rfam family "Bacterial small subunit ribosomal RNA", at positions 74 to 792 of the family's 1533-position model. The record is from RNAcentral. Lineage: Bacteria; Bacillati; Actinomycetota; Actinomycetes.